This 500-nucleotide ribosomal RNA is filed under the name uncultured bacterium. RNAcentral describes it as "partial 16S ribosomal RNA". It matches the Rfam family "Bacterial small subunit ribosomal RNA", at positions 30 to 523 of the family's 1533-position model. The record is from RNAcentral.
AUUGAACGCUGGCGGCAUGCCUUACACAUGCAAGUCGAACGGCAGCACGGGAGCAAUCCUGGUGGCGAGUGGCGAACGGGUGAGUAAAGUAUCGGAACGUGCCCAGUCGUGGGGGAUAACGUAGCGAAAGUUACGCUAAUACCGCAUACGAUCUAUGGAUGAAAGCGGGGGAUCGCAAGACCUCGCGCGAUUGGAGCGGCCGAUAUCAGAUUAGGUAGUUGGUGGGGUAAAGGCUCACCAAGCCGACGAUCUGUAGCUGGUAUGAGAGGACGACCAGCCACACUGGGACUGGGACACGGCUCAGACUCCUACGGGAGGCAGCAGUGGGGAAUUUUGGACAAUGGGCGAAAGCCUGAUCCAGCCAUGCCGCGUGCAGGAUGAAGGCCUUCGGGUUGUAAACUGCUUUUGUACGGAACGAAAAGGUUUGGGCUAAUAAGCUGAGCUCAUGACGGUACCGUAAGAAUAAGCACCGGCUAACUACGUGCCAGCCGCCGCAGUAA